UUAAAAACUUCCGGUCUCAGCG
This 22-nucleotide non-coding RNA is filed under the name Rattus norvegicus (Norway rat). The record is from RNAcentral. Lineage: Eukaryota; Metazoa; Chordata; Mammalia; Rodentia; Muridae.